CUAACACAUGCAAGUCGAGCGGAAACGACACUAACAAUCCUUCGGGUGCGUUAAUGGGCGUCGAGCGGCGGACGGGUGAGUAAUGCCUAGGAAAUUGCCUUGAUGUGGGGGAUAACCAUUGGAAACGAUGGCUAAUACCGCAUGAUGCCUACGGGCCAAAGAGGGGGACCUUCGGGCCUCUCGCGUCAAGAUAUGCCUAGGUGGGAUUAGCUAGUUGGUGAGGUAAUGGCUCACCAAGGCGACGAUCCCUAGCUGGUCUGAGAGGAUGAUCAGCCACACUGGAACUGAGACACGGUCCAGACUCCUACGGGAGGCAGCAGUGGGGAAUAUUGCACAAUGGGCGAAAGCCUGAUGCAGCCAUGCCGCGUGUAUGAAGAAGGCCUUCGGGUUGUAAAGUACUUUCAGUUGUGAGGAAGGGUGUGUAGUUAAUAGCUGCGCAUCUUGACGUUAGCAACAGAAGAAGCACCGGCUAACUCCGUGCCAGCAGCCGCGGUAAUACGGAGGGUGCGAGCGUUAAUCGGAAUUACUGGGCGUAAAGCGCAUGCAGGUGGUUCAUUAAGUCAGAUGUGAAAGCCCGGGGCUCAACCUCGGAACUGCAUUUGAAACUGGUGAACUAGAGUACUGUAGAGGGGGGUAGAAUUUCAGGUGUAGCGGUGAAAUGCGUAGAGAUCUGAAGGAAUACCAGUGGCGAAGGCGGCCCCCUGGACAGAUACUGACACUCAGAUGCGAAAGCGUGGGGAGCAA
RNAcentral lists this ribosomal RNA (744 nucleotides) under Vibrio sp. COH-12. Its description in RNAcentral is "bacterial SSU rRNA". It matches the Rfam family "Bacterial small subunit ribosomal RNA", at positions 48 to 771 of the family's 1533-position model. Lineage: Bacteria; Pseudomonadati; Pseudomonadota; Gammaproteobacteria; Vibrionales; Vibrionaceae. The record is from RNAcentral.